This 525-nucleotide ribosomal RNA is filed under the name uncultured bacterium. RNAcentral's name for it is "bacterial SSU rRNA". It matches the Rfam family "Bacterial small subunit ribosomal RNA", at positions 984 to 1509 of the family's 1533-position model. The record is from RNAcentral.
ACAUCCAGCGAACUUGGCAGAGAUGCCUUGGUGCCUUCGGGAACGCUGAGACAGGUGCUGCAUGGCUGUCGUCAGCUCGUGUUGUGAAAUGUUGGGUUAAGUCCCGCAACGAGCGCAACCCUUAUCCUUUGUUGCCAGCGAUUCGGUCGGGAACUCAAAGGAGACUGCCGGUGAUAAACCGGAGGAAGGUGGGGAUGACGUCAAGUCAUCAUGGCCCUUACGAGUAGGGCUACACACGUGCUACAAUGGCGCAUACAAAGAGAAGCGACCUCGCGAGAGCAAGCGGACCUCAUAAAGUGCGUCGUAGUCCGGAUCGGAGUCUGCAACUCGACUCCGUGAAGUCGGAAUCGCUAGUAAUCGUGGAUCAGAAUGCCACGGUGAAUACGUUCCCGGGCCUUGUACGCACCGCCCGUCACACCAUGGGAGUGGGUUGCAAAAGAAGUAGGUAGCUUAACCUUCGGGAGGGCGCUUACCACUUUGUGAUUCAUGACUGGGGUGAAGUCGUAACAAGGUAGGCGUAGCGAG